Molecule: long non-coding RNA, 476 nt
Filed under: Apteryx owenii (little spotted kiwi)
Lineage: Eukaryota; Metazoa; Chordata; Aves; Apterygiformes; Apterygidae
Description: lncRNA (ENSAOWG00000014815.1)
Source: RNAcentral
CACUCAUUUUCAGGGUGGUUCUUCCCAAACAAAGUUGAGCAGCCAGGGUACGUUUCUUGAAGAGUUGGGCCUAGCAAUAUGGCAGCGCACAUUCGAUAAGAAAUCUUGUAAAGUGCUGCUACUGAGUUCAAUCCUGAAGAAGUGCACAGAACACGUUUGUGUGCAUGAUAUGGCUCUGUUCUGCGUCCAGGACCACAUGCUCUCCCACCCGUUUCCUUGGCCACCGCACACACUUUGCAGGGCCAGAAGUCUUUGAAUUCCGGGUGCUCCUGAAUUGUGUUUAGGCUCCUGCAUUAGUUGGCCUGAUUUUUUCAAAGAUGCUGAACCCCUGAAACUCCUCCUCUUGGUAUGAUUUGGAUGGAAAUUUUGGGUGCUGAAAACUUUGGAAAAGCUGGAUACUUUUAAGGUAGGUAUCUAAGUAAAAGCAUAGGAAUCUAAAUUUAGACAAUCAAUUUAGAUAAUCUUUGGAAAGAUGA